RNAcentral lists this ribosomal RNA (253 nucleotides) under uncultured bacterium. RNAcentral describes it as "partial 16S ribosomal RNA". It matches the Rfam family "Bacterial small subunit ribosomal RNA", at positions 524 to 776 of the family's 1533-position model. The record is from RNAcentral.
GACGGAGGAUGCAAGCGUUAUCCGGAAUGAUUGGGCGUAAAGCGUCCGCAGGUGGCAGUUCAAGUCUGCUGUCAAAGACCGGGGCUUAACUUCGGAAAGGCAGUGGAAACUGAACAGCUAGAGUAUGGUAGGGGCAGAGGGAAUUCCUGGUGUAGCGGUGAAAUGCGUAGAUAUCGUUUGGAACGCCAACGGUGAAAACAGACAGCUGGGAGUGUGCUGACGCUGAGACACGAAAGCCAGGGGAGCGAACGGG